This is a long non-coding RNA of Trichoplusia ni (cabbage looper), 499 nucleotides long. RefSeq lists it as uncharacterized. The transcript is spliced from 2 exons. The record is from RefSeq and is a predicted model, not a curated record. NCBI's taxonomy places the organism in Eukaryota, Metazoa, Arthropoda, Insecta, Lepidoptera, Noctuidae.
GUCCAUACGUUUUAGUACAAGAGCUGUCAUGUGAGAAGUGUCCAAAUUUACUGUGAACGAAAAACUGAAAUAAUGCCGUUUGGAUUUAUACUCAUAACUGGACUACUGGCGUUCGGAGCAUAUUGGACGACGAAGUAUUUAAUGAGCAUGCCGAUGCCGUCAACUAUCCCGCCAAUAUCAUCAACAUCACCACCUCCAAGCAGCAUUUGAGCCUUUGAACGCCGCGUCGUGAAUGUGGUCCAGCUGUCCCCUCUCACCACUUCUUAGUAAUGUUAUCGCAGAUGUGGAAAAGAGACGGCGCUAUAUAGCAAGUAUUGCGUUGUCUCGCUUUCGCAACUGGCUUCCUUAAGGAUAUGACGGCAGGCCUGCAGAUCAUUCUCUACGGCACGGCGUUCAUAAUGAUCCAGAAUGAUCCCCCUACAAUGAUUACAAUUAUGUUAUGGCUCGUUAUGCUGCAUGUUUUUGAAUAAGUUUUGUUAAUUAUAUUUUUUGGACUAAG